Molecule: ribosomal RNA, 253 nt
Filed under: uncultured bacterium
Lineage: Bacteria
Description: partial 16S ribosomal RNA
Rfam family: Bacterial small subunit ribosomal RNA
Source: RNAcentral
UACGAUGGGGGCUAGCGUUGUUCGGAAUUACUGGGCGUAAAGCGCGUGUAGGCGGGGCGGUAAGUCGGGGGUGAAAGCCCAGAGCUCAACUCUGGAAUUACCUUCGAUUCUGGCGGCCUGCAGCAUGAUAGAGGCGAGUGGAAGUUCGAGUGUAGAGGUGAAAUUCGUAGACAUUUGCAGGAACACCAGUGGCGAAGGCGACUCGCUGGAUCAAUGCUGACGCUGAGACGCGAAAGCGUGGGGAGCAAACAGG